GCGCCAUUAGUAUAGUGGCUAGUAUGCUAGCUUGCCAAGCUAGUGACAGGGGUUCAAAUCCCCUAUGGCGCACCA
Molecule: transfer RNA, 75 nt
Filed under: Nanobdellota archaeon
Lineage: Archaea; Nanobdellati; Nanobdellota
Description: tRNA-Gly
Rfam family: tRNA
About the family: Transfer RNA (tRNA) molecules are approximately 80 nucleotides in length. Their secondary structure includes four short double-helical elements and three loops (D, anti-codon, and T loops).
Source: RNAcentral